AUUGAACGCUGGCGGCAGGCUUAACACAUGCAAGUCGAGCGGGGGAAGGUAGCUUGCUACCGGACCUAGCGGCGGACGGGUGAGUAAUGCUUAGGAAUCUGCCUAUUAGUGGGGGACAACAUCUCGAAAGGGAUGCUAAUACCGCACACGUCCUACGGGAGAAAGCAGGGGAUCUUCGGACCUUGCGCUAAUAGAUGAGCCUAAGUCGGAUUAGCUAGUUGGGGGGGUAAAGGCCUACCAAGGCGACGAUCGGUAGCGGGUCUGGGAGGAUGAUCCGCCACACUGGGACUGAGACACGGCCCAGACUCCUACGGGAGGCAGCAGUGGGGAAUAUUGGACAAUGGGGGGAACCCUGAUCCAGCCAUGCCGCGUGUGUGAAGAAGGCCUUAUGGUUGUAAAGCACUUUAAGCGAGGAGGAGGCUACUCUAGUUAAUACCUAGGGAUAGUGGACGUUACUCGCAGAAUAAGCACCGGCUAACUCUGUGCCAGCAGCCGCCGUAA
RNAcentral lists this ribosomal RNA (501 nucleotides) under uncultured bacterium. RNAcentral's name for it is "partial 16S ribosomal RNA". It matches the Rfam family "Bacterial small subunit ribosomal RNA", at positions 30 to 523 of the family's 1533-position model. The record is from RNAcentral.